CUUUUUGGUCUUUCCUGCUGCCUUGUGAAGAAGGUGCUUGUUUCUUCUUUGCCUUCUGCCAUGAUUGCCAUGUGAAUCGCACCCCUGGAACUGUGCAGGGCCCACCUGUGUGGCCACACGCAGUGACCCUGAGCAAAGGAGUGACCACAGAAGUGCAUGGCAAAGCAGAAAGGUGUGACGUCUUGGAGGACGCGGGAGGAAAGCACGCCCAGCGGACAGGAGCCAUCACGCGGCUGCGGGCUGCUGCUGAGAACCUGGCGUGGGCCACCGUCGUCAGCAGCGUGGAGGUAACUGACGACCUUGGCCAAGAAGUUGGGUGGCAGCGUGGAGGUCAUGCUCAGAGGAGCCGAGGAGCAUGGACACCGUCUUCUCCUUCCAGCAGGCACAGGACACUUGUUAUUGCAGUCAGAGUCCAUCUGGAUAAUCCUGGAUAAAUCUCAUCUGGAGAUCCUUCACCAGAUCACAUCGGCAAUGACCUGUUCCCCAAAUAAGGCCCUGUGCACAGGUUCUGGGGGACAUAUCUUGUAAUUGAAGACGUCUCACCAUAGCGGCCAGCCGUGCAACCACUGGGCCUGUCUGUGCCUGAACAACACACUGGCCUGCCUUUGCCUGAACAAGACAGCCUUAGUCUCAAAGCUUGCAGAUGGGUGUGGCCUGGUAGAAAAUUCUCAAGACAACGGCGGAGCACGCUUGCCCCUAGGAGACCAAGUGGCCGGAAUGUUGAGAAUCAGCCUUUCGCAGAAAUCCCCUAAGCGGGAGGCAGCAGGCUGACUCCAUCAGCCCCAGGCAGGCUUCUGGGCCCUGCAGCUAUGGCUCUUCAUCCUUUUACAUGUUCUUCGAGAAUCAGCUGCACCCUGGAUGCUUCUGACAGCUCAGAGGACAUCAGCAUGAGGACAAGCACAGGGCUUGAUGGCUCGGAGGGAAAUGGAGUUGGAAGAUUUGGACUUAAUGUGCACACAUUUUAGAAAUAUCUUAACAAAUUUUAUUUUGCUGAUAUCUUUCUUUUUUGUGUGUGCCAAAGUGAUGGCCAGUACAAAUCCAUGUCUAAUUAAGUCCAGAAGAGCUCCUUCAAUAAGCGUAAGAUGAAAGUUAUGAGUGAUAAGAAAGCGUCAUGUCAGUUUAAUUGGCAGCAUUUUCUCUUUCUUAGUGGUUCAUAAAAUAAGGCAGUGCUUUGCUAUCGACGG
This 1184-nucleotide long non-coding RNA is filed under the name Homo sapiens (human). Its description in RNAcentral is "HSALNT0000817". The record is from RNAcentral. Lineage: Eukaryota; Metazoa; Chordata; Mammalia; Primates; Hominidae.